Molecule: small RNA, 2997 nt
Filed under: Pan troglodytes (chimpanzee)
Lineage: Eukaryota; Metazoa; Chordata; Mammalia; Primates; Hominidae
Description: processed transcript
Source: RNAcentral
GUUCUCUCUGGUCAGUUGCUCAGUUCUACUGGGACCUGGAGGAGGAAGGCAGGGGCCAAAGAGGAAUUUGUCCCCCCUUGGGGGCCCUGGGGCUCCCGGGGUCCGGAUUUUGAUACUCUGAAGCAGGAACCUUUGAUUCCCAUGGCAAACCCUGUUCCUGUUCAGAGGAGCCACCUCCAGGGUCCCAUUCUCAGGCUGCGCUACAUGGUGAAGCAGUUGGAGAAUGGGGAGAUAAACAUUGAGGAGCUGAAGAAAAAUCUGGAGUACACAGCUUCUCUGCUGGAAGCCGUCUACAUAGAUGAGACACGGCCCGGGCCAAAGGCCGCCGAGCAGAGGAGAAGCCCAAGUUCCGAAGCAUUGUGCACGCUGUGCAGGCUGGGAUCUUCGUGGAACGGAUGUUCCGGAGAACAUACACCUCUGUGGGCCCCACUUACUCUACUGCGGUUCUCAACUGUCUCAAGAACCUGGAUCUCUGGUGCUUUGAUGUCUUUUCCUUGAACCGGGCAGCAGAUGACCAUGCCCUGAGGACCAUUGUUUUUGAGUUGCUGACUCGGCAUAACCUCAUCAGCCGCUUCAAGAUUCCCACUGUGUUUUUGAUGAGUUUCCUGGAUGCCUUGGAGACAGGCUAUGGGAAGUACAAGAAUCCUUACCACAACCAGAUCCACGCAGCCGAUGUUACCCAGACAGUCCAUUGCUUCUUGCUCCGCACAGGGAUGGUGCACUGCCUGUCGGAGAUUGAGCUCCUGGCCAUCAUCUUUGCUGCAGCUAUCCAUGAUUAUGAGCACACGGGCACUACCAACAGCUUCCACAUCCAGACCAAGUCGGAAUGUGCCAUCCUGUACAAUGAUCGUUCAGUGCUGGAGAAUCACCACAUCAGCUCUGUUUUCCGACUGAUGCAGGAUGAUGAGAUGAACAUUUUCAUCAACCUCACCAAGGAUGAGUUUGUAGAACUCCGAGCCCUGGUCAUUGAGAUGGUGUUGGCCACAGACAUGUCCUGCCAUUUCCAGCAAGUGAAGACCAUGAAGACAGCCUUGCAACAGCUGGAGAGGAUUGACAAGCCCAAGGCCCUGUCUCUACUGCUCCAUGCUGCUGACAUCAGCCACCCAACCAAGCAGUGGUUGGUCCACAGCCGUUGGACCAAGGCCCUCAUGGAGGAAUUCUUCCGUCAGGGUGACAAGGAGGCAGAGUUGGGCCUGCCCUUUUCUCCACUCUGUGACCGCACUUCCACUCUAGUGGCACAGUCUCAGAUAGGGUUCAUCGACUUCAUUGUGGAGCCCACAUUCUCUGUGCUGACUGAUGUGGCAGAGAAGAGUGUUCAGCCCCUGGCGGAUGAGGACUCCAAGUCUAAAAACCAGCCCAGCUUUCAGUGGCGCCAGCCCUCUCUGGAUGUGGAAGUGGGAGACCCCAACCCAGAUGUGGUCAGCUUUCGUUCCACCUGGGUCAAGCGCAUUCAGGAGAACAAGCAGAAAUGGAAGGAACGGGCAGCAAGUGGCAUCGCCAACCAGAUGUCCAUUGACGAGCUGUCCCCCUGUGAAGAAGAGGCCCCCCCAUCCCCUGCCGAAGAUGAACACAACCAGAAUGGGAAUCUGGAUUAGCCCUGGGGCUGGCCCAGGUCUUCAUUGAGUCCAAAGUGUUUGAUGUCAUCAGCACCAUCCAUCAGGACUGGCUCCCCCAUCUGCUCCAAGGGAGCGUGGUCGUGGAAGAAACAACCCACCUGAAGGCCAAAUGCCAGAGAUUUGGGGUUGGGGAAAGGGCCCCUCCCCACCUGACACCCACUGGGGUGCACUUUAAUGUUCCGGCAGCAAGACUGGGGAACUUCAGGCUCCCAGUGGUCACUGUGCCCAUCCCUCAGCCUCUGGAUUCUCUUCAUGGCCAGGCGGCUGCCAGGGAGCAGGGAGCUUCCUGGAGGCGUCCCAGGGCCUUGGGGAAGGAUCAGAGAUGCCAGCCCCCUGGGACCUCCCCCAUCCUUUUUGCCUCCAAGUUUCUAAGCAAUACAUUUUGGGGGUUCCCUCAGCCCCCCACCCCAGAUCUUAGCUGGCAGGUCUGGGUCCCCCUUUUCCUCCCCUGGGAAGGGCUGGAAUAGGAUAGAAAGCUGGGGGUAUUCAGAGCCCUAUGUGUGGGGAGGGGAGUGGGUUCCUUCAGGGCAUGGUACCUUUCUAGGACCUGGGAAUGGGGUGGAUAGGACAUCCUCUUCACCCCAGAAUUGCGCUGCUUCAGCCCCAUCUCCAGCCUGAUCCUCUGCAAUCUUCCUUCUCUCCCUUUCUGAUAUAGUGACCGGGGCAAAAGGAGCCAUUGUGACCAGGGGCUGCGGGAGGCCUUUCCUGGGACCUUCCUUGGGACUGGUCUGGGCCCCUGGGGCUUGUCGCCUGCCCUGGCUGAGUCCCGAGCCCUUUGCCUCCUUCCUCUCCCCUGGGGCUGGGAGGCUCCAUCCGACCAAUGUCUGUAAAGUGCUUUGAGGAUCUCCCCAGCAAAGCACCUUCAGAAUGUAUCGACACCAGCUGGGUUAGGGUCAAGGGUGCCUGGGGAGGGUGAGUAAUCCUGCAUUGCUAAAAGAGAGGGUCUGUCCCCUCCUUUCCACGUCCCAGAACUGGCCCAGCUGCAGGCACUAAGAAGCUCCUCCCCUGAGACAAGUGAGGGGUAGUGGGUGAAAGGCAGAUGGACAAGGGGCUCAGGGCUGCUGCCUUCCUGUCCUCUGGAGAGAACCCAGCCAGGCGCGGUGCCCCUUCCUCUCCUCAGGCUCCUCCUUGCCCCCACCUCGCCCCAGGAAAGGCCAAAGUCCAGGUGACUGCCCUCCUUCUUUCUUGUAAAUACCAACCAUGCAUUUGUACAGUGGGCCCUGUUCAUGCGAAAUCCACAUCCAUGGUCUCCUAGACCUGCUACCCUGGUACUUCCACCCUACCCCACCCCGAGAAGGGCAGAGACGCAUGUGACUCACCCCUGCCCUUGGUUUCCCAGACCCCUGCUAUAGCCAGAGAACAAUAAAGAAGGGAGACCAGG